CCUACGGGUGGCAGCAGUGAGGAAUAUUGGUCAAUGGACGAAAGUCUGAACCAGCCAAGUAGCGUGAAGGAUGACUGCCCUAUGGGUUGUAAACUUCUUUUAUAUGGGGAUAAAACGUUCCACGUGUGGGAUUUUGUAUGUACCAUAUGAAUAAGGAUCGGCUAACUCCGUGCCAGCAGCCGCGGUAAUACGGAGGAUCCGAGCGUUAUCCGGAUUUAUUGGGUUUAAAGGGAGCGUAGGUGGCUUGUUAAGUCAGUUGUGACAGGUGGCGGCUCAACCGUAAAAUUGCAGUUGAAACUGGCAGUCUUGAGUACAGUAGAGGUGGGCGGAAUUCGUGGUGUAGCGGUGAAAUGCUUAGAUAUCACGAAGAACUACGAUUGCGAAGGCAGUUCACUGGACUGCAACUGACACUGAGGCUCGAAAGUGUGGGUAUCAAACAGGAUUAGAUACCCCGGUAGUC
This 460-nucleotide ribosomal RNA is filed under the name uncultured bacterium. RNAcentral's name for it is "partial 16S ribosomal RNA". It matches the Rfam family "Bacterial small subunit ribosomal RNA", at positions 338 to 795 of the family's 1533-position model. The record is from RNAcentral.